ACAGGGCGAACCGGGGGAACUGAAACAUCUAAGUACCCCGAGGAAAAGAAAUCAACCGAGAUUCCGAAAGUAGCGGCGAGCGAAAUUGGACUAGCCCUUAAGCUUUACACGCGUUAGACGAACAGCCUGGAAAGGCCGACGAUACAGGGUGAUAGUCCCGUAGUUGACGACGUGUGUUCAGUGAAAUCGAGUAGGGCGGGACACGUGAUAUCCUGUCUGAAUAUGGGGGGACCAUCCUCCAAGGCUAAAUACUACUGACUGACCGAUAGUGAACCAGUACCGUGAGGGAAAGGCGAAAAGAACCCCUGUGAGGGGAGUGAAAUAGAACCUGAAACCGUGUACGUACAAGCAGUAGGAGCAGGCUUGUCCUGUGACUGCGUACCUUUUGUAUAAUGGGUCAGCGACUUAUAUUCAGUGGCAAGGUUAACCAUCUAGGGGAGCCGUAGGGAAACCGAGUCUUAACUGGGCGUUCAGUCUCUGGAUAUAGACCCGAAACCAGGUGAUCUAGCCAUGGGCAGGUUGAAGGUUGAGUAACAUCAACUGGAGGACCGAACCGACUAAUGUUGAAAAAUUAGCGGAUGACUUGUGGCUAGGGGUGAAAGGCCAAUCAAACCUGGAGAUAGCUGGUUCUCCCCGAAAGCUAUUUAGGUAGCGCCUCGGACGAAUACUACUGGGGGUAGAGCACUGUUAAGGCUAGGGGGUCAUCCCGACUUACCAACCCUUUGCAA
RNAcentral lists this ribosomal RNA (728 nucleotides) under uncultured bacterium. Its description in RNAcentral is "bacterial LSU rRNA". It matches the Rfam family "Bacterial large subunit ribosomal RNA", at positions 174 to 952 of the family's 2925-position model. The record is from RNAcentral.